Long non-coding RNA from Coturnix japonica (Japanese quail), 3646 nucleotides. RefSeq lists it as uncharacterized. The record is from RefSeq and is a predicted model, not a curated record. NCBI's taxonomy places the organism in Eukaryota, Metazoa, Chordata, Aves, Galliformes, Phasianidae.
UGUUGCAAUGGUUACCUUUUAAGGGGCUCAUAGAAUUGCAUUACAAAAAUUUAUGAUGAUGCAGUGAAUGUGUGCAAGUGUAUUAAUUCUCCUCAAGGCCAGCGUUUCAUAGCUGUAAAAUUAAUGUUAUGGUGUGAUUUCUAGUAUGGCUAAUUGCUAUUCAGUAAAGCAGAACUCUGUGUUUUCUCACCUUAUGGCACUUAAUUCCUUCAAACAGCCUUUCCUUGGGGAGUUUCCCAGGUAACUGUCAACAAAGGAUAUAUGCACAAUUACUUAUAUAUUGGUUACUAGGAGAAAUGAGUGGUGAUGCAGUGGCACAGCUGCCCAGGGAGGUGAUAGUGUCACCAUCACUGGAGGUGUUCAGGAAACAUGUAGAUGUGGCACUGAGGAAUGUGGUCAGUGGGCAUGAGUUAAUGGUUGGAUUAGAAGACCUUAGUGCUCUUUUCCAACCUUGAUGAUUCUGUGAUUCUAAAUAUGUAUUUUUCUACAUUUAGUUAAUGUGAUUGAAGCAUUGAAAAUCUUGUGAGCUUGUUCAGCUGGUUUUGAGUUCCUUUGGAUGGGAUUAGUUGAAAGAUUUAUUAGCAGACAUCUCAGGAUGCAGUGGGUUAAAAACGUGCCUCAUAACCAUAGAUAAACCCUGUGAUGUUUGAAAGCAACUGAGGGUCAAUAAAAUAGGUCAAUAAAAGCUCAGAUCGCUUGAAAUUUCUUAUAUUUAUCCUUACGUUUUCUUACUAAGUAGAAAAAAUAUUUUCUUGCUAGGAGGGUGGACUGGUAUUUGUAUCACUACUGAUUGAGAAAGAUGUGCUAAUCGCUUAUUCCAGCUUGAAAACAGUUACAAUAAAAAGCAACAACCAGUGCUGAGGCAUUGCUUGUGUACUGGAUUAACAGAGCGGGUUGUAGAACAAUCUCAGAGUGAUGGGAUAAGAAUUUAAAGGGGAUCCAACACCACUUGCUGUCAUCUUCAAGGCUUUGUUUGACUGCCAGCAUUAGAACUGUGCUCAUUGUUGUGGACUAAUGGGCAUAUGGGUUGUGGAAUGAGCAAUAUCCUUGUUGUCUGUCACAGAUACAACCAUGACCACUUGGGACUCAAAGAGAAAGUGUGAAAUGUUGAGGUACCAAGAUCUAUUGGUGCUCAAGGGAAGGGUGGUGAAAUCCAAAUCAGCAUAUAAUCAUAGACUAUCUUGAGUAGGAAGGAGCACAUGAAGACCAUCGAUUCCAGCUCCUGGGUCCAAAACACAGGACCACACAAAAAAAUCAGACACUGUGUCUGAAAGAAAUAGGCUGAGAUAUCUUACAGGCAUUAAUGCUUACAAUGGCAUGAUUGUUAUCAUAGUUACAGCCAAUUGUAGCUCUGGUGGCAAGCAGUGAUACAGCACCUGGGAGGUGCUUGGCUCUGCUUGUCAAAGUGUUCCAGUAUCAUGAAAGUGAUGAAUGACACCAGGAAAGCGUUUGGGGAAGGAGAGUAGAGGAAACACGAUGCUCUGCUGAGUGGUGGUGUGGGGUGGGCAGGAUUAUUACUGCAGGAGCCAGGCAGGCAGCAAGCAUCUGCUUAGAACCAACCAGAUCAGAGCACAGUGGGAACAAGAAAUCCUUGGACUGGUUAUCAAGGAGCUGGGAAACUCCGGGAUACUGUACUCGUGGGGGAUUUUUACUACCCAGACAUCUGCCGGGUAACAAAUGCAGCUAAUCAUGGAGAUAAUGUACAGCCCUAAUUCACUAUGAAUUCUCUCCCAUGUGUUUAGAAUUGUAUUUACAGUAGGGAGGGAGUGAUGGUUAUUCAUGAAUCAAGGUGAACUGAGGAGCCAGAGCAGAGAUGGCCGUAUAUUGUGGGAAAUACUGUGUGAUGGGCUGGAGCAGAAUCCCUCUGAAAGCAGGGAUGUACGUCUGGUAUUCUAAGAAACAAACAUUUCUGUAAUUACUGAUUGCUGUUACAUGAGCUGAUCAAACUCUUCAUUUCUCAGGAAGCUCUGCUGACCUUGAGGCACAAAUUCGCAGGUGGACUAAACCUCCUCCAGUUCACUUCUGCUGAUCAGGAGGGUGAAGAUGAUUAAGAAAAAGGAGCCCAUGUUCAUGCAGCUGAUGAGAGAUGGAUGGGUCAGAUUACUCCACCCCAGCACUGCAUCAGUGUACAUCCUUGCCAUCUCUAUCCCCCAUUUCUUCCUGCCCCGUCUGCUUCCUGCUGGAAAUCCAUCUGCAGAGCAGAAGGGCUGAGAUAACAACCAGCUGUGAGUGAGGCUGUCUGUCCUCAGCUCUUGGUGGUCUGGUGCGUCAGGAGAGGACUGGCUUGCUGGGAGGAUGGGGAUAGCAUUGUGAGUGGGGGGGAAACCACCUGGCCAGGCUGGCUUUUGCUUUGGGCAGAGGAAGGAUUGGUGAAUUGCAGUGUUUUAACAUGUGCUGAGCUGUACAUAAAUGCCUCGGGCAAGAGCUUCCCUCCCCAAAAAACAUUAAUUGAUUAACUUCCCCUUGUUCUUCCACUGAUGUUUUUCUAAGAGUAUUUUUAGUGUUAUUGAUUUUUAUUUUUUAUUUAUUUAUUCUGUAUAUUUCCAAAGAAGUAGAGAGAAAAUGAGAGCAAUUGCUCUUUUUUCUGGAAGAAAUAAGCAAACCAGGAAAAUCAAUGCCCUCUAAACUUUCCUGGACAAGGGUGAAAUUCUCAUGCUAUUGAAGUCCAAGUUCUCAGCACUGCUGCAGAAUCUGGAUGUCACUCCAAAUGCCCUGCAGGGCGUCUGCACUCUGUGCUAUGGGGACCAGCAUUCAGCAGGAAGAGAUAGUCCUCAGAUCCAGCUGCCUUUAAAGCAUCACACACCCCUGGUCUCUGAUAGGACCAGACUAUGUAGAUUUGAUCUUGGGGACCUUUCUGGUCAAGUUUAGACACAUGCACAGAGCUCACAGUGAGAAUAUGUCUCCUAUGUAGCUAGUGAGGAUGAGAAUUAACUCCUUUAAGCUGUGACAGGGGAGUUUGAGGUUAAAUAUUAGGAAAAAUUUAAUCUAAGAAAGAGUGGUGCUGCAUUGGCACAGCUGCCCAGGGAGGUGGUGGAGUCACCAUCCCUGGAGGUGUGCAAGAACCGUGGGGAUGUGGCACUGAGGGAUGUGGUCAGUGAGCAUGGUGGGGGUGUGUUGAUGGUUGGACUGAGUGAUGGUCUUUUCCAAUCUUAAUGAUUCUAUUCUUAAGUUUGUUUGUAAUCAAAUGUAUUCCUUAAAAGCUCUGUCAGGUUGUUAUUGAUUUCCUUACAGUUCCAGUACUGAUGCUGUGAGCUCUCACAGUGCCCAGGGUCACCCAUGCUCCUCUUCUUCCCUUCACCACAGACCUGUUGGCUCCGUCUACAGAGACAACAUUUGUUGGCACAUUGAGGUGAAUACCGAUGCUGAGAGGAUGUCACAGCAGUGCAAGUCAAAAUGUGCAGGGAGCGCAGGGUAUCUUGAUGGAUUUGAAAGGAACACUUUAGCCCAUGCAUGGGAACACGUCCUAUGCCAUUAUGUGUUAAUGGAUAUGAUUUAUUUCAGGAAAAAGAGGAGAAGAGAACCCAGGGAAACGUAGAACCGAUGAUGUAUAGGUAACAACACUGUUUGGAAUAUAAAUACAGACAAACAGCAUCUUUGUUGCCAGUAGUGCAAUGUUCUUUCAGAUAAUAAAGCCAUUUUGUAACUA